AAACCAGCACCUCAAGUGGUCAGGAUGAUUAUUGGGCCUAAAGCAUCCGUAGCCGGCUCUGUAAGUUUUCGGUUAAAUCUGUACGCUUAACGUACAGGCUGCCGGGAAUACUGCAGAGCUAGGGAGUGGGAGAGGUAGACGGUACUCGGGAGGAAGUGGUAAAAUGCUUUGAUCUCUCGAUGACCACCUGUGGCGAAGGCGGUCUACCAGAACACGUCCGACGGUGAGGGGUGAAAGCUGGGGGAGCAAACCGGAUUAGAAACCCGAGUAGUCC
This 274-nucleotide ribosomal RNA is filed under the name uncultured bacterium. Its description in RNAcentral is "partial 16S ribosomal RNA". It matches the Rfam family "Archaeal small subunit ribosomal RNA", at positions 473 to 747 of the family's 1478-position model. The record is from RNAcentral.